UACGGAGGGUGCAAGCGUUAUCCGGAAUUACUGGGUUUAAAGGGUGCGUAGGCGGCCUGAUAAGUCAGGGGUGAAAGUUUAUGGCUUAACUGUAGAAUUGCCUUUGAUACUGUUGGGCUUGAAACGAGCUGAGGUCAGCGGAAUGUGACAUGUAGCGGUGAAAUGCAUAGAUAUGUCAUAGAACACCAAUUGCGUAGGCAGCUGGCUAGGCUUAGUUUGACGCUGAGGAACGAAAGCGUGGGUAGCGAACAGG
This 253-nucleotide ribosomal RNA is filed under the name uncultured bacterium. Its description in RNAcentral is "partial 16S ribosomal RNA". It matches the Rfam family "Bacterial small subunit ribosomal RNA", at positions 524 to 776 of the family's 1533-position model. The record is from RNAcentral.